UACGUAGGGUGCAAGCGUUAAUCGGAAUUACUGGGCGUAAAGCGUGCGUAGGCGGCUAUGUAAGACAGAUGUGAAAUCCCUGGGCUUAACCUAGGAACUGCAUUUGUGACUGCAUUGCUAGAGUGUGGUAGAGGGAGAUGGAAUUCCGCAUGUAGCGGUGAAAUGCGUAGAUAUGCGGAGGAACACCAAUGGCGAAGGCAAUCUCCUGGACCUGCACUGACGCUCAUGCACGAAAGCGUGGGGAGCAAACAGG
This 253-nucleotide ribosomal RNA is filed under the name uncultured bacterium. RNAcentral's name for it is "partial 16S ribosomal RNA". It matches the Rfam family "Bacterial small subunit ribosomal RNA", at positions 524 to 776 of the family's 1533-position model. The record is from RNAcentral.